AAAUUGAAGAGUUUGAUCAUGGCUCAGAUUGAACGCUGGCGGCAGGCCUAACACAUGCAAGUCGAACGGUAGCACAGAGGAGCUUGCUCCUUGGGUGACGAGUGGCGGACGGGUGAGUAAUGUCUGGGAAACUGCCCGAUGGAGGGGGAUAACUACUGGAAACGGUAGCUAAUACCGCAUAACGUCGCAAGACCAAAGAGGGGGACCUUCGGGCCUCUUGCCAUCGGAUGUGCCCAGAUGGGAUUAGCUAGUAGGUGGGGUAACGGCUCACCUAGGCGACGAUCCCUAGCUGGUCUGAGAGGAUGACCAGCCACACUGGAACUGAGACACGGUCCAGACUCCUACGGGAGGCAGCAGUGGGGAAUAUUGCACAAUGGGCGCAAGCCUGAUGCAGCCAUGCCGCGUGUAUGAAGAAGGCCUUCGGGUUGUAAAGUACUUUCAGCGAGGAGGAAGGUGUUGUGGUUAAUAACCACAGCAAUUGACGUUACUCGCAGAAGAAGCACCGGCUAACUCCGUGCCAGCAGCCGCGGUAAUACGGAGGGUGCAAGCGUUAAUCGGAAUUACUGGGCGUAAAGCGCACGCAGGCGGUCUGUCAAGUC
Molecule: ribosomal RNA, 599 nt
Filed under: Citrobacter freundii complex sp. 2023EL-00966
Lineage: Bacteria; Pseudomonadati; Pseudomonadota; Gammaproteobacteria; Enterobacterales; Enterobacteriaceae
Description: bacterial SSU rRNA
Rfam family: Bacterial small subunit ribosomal RNA
Source: RNAcentral